CGGCGAUAGCGGCCAGCCACGGAGGAGCAGGAGCGGGAGGAUAUCCCCUGCGCAGAUGUUUGCCCCUGCCACCCACGCCGUGGUUUUGCAGAGAGAAGCUGGGGGACCUGAUAAAGCAUCCAGGUCUUGACCUUUCAACCCUAAAGCUGGAUGGAGAGCAGACCAAACACUUGGAGGCUCCCUCCCUUCCAUCCCAGCUGUCCCCACCUUGUAUGCCAAGUCCUUCUCCUGGCUUGAGACUUUAACCUCCAGCAUCUGACAAACAGUGAGGGCGAAAGCAACAGCAGUGAUUACACAGUCUUCCAACUUCAGUGGGGAAAAAAAAAAAAAUAAUUUUAAAAGAGUCACGAAACAAGAAAAGGCCAGAAAAAUCAAACCCGGCAUAUACGGUGAAGCCUCAAACUGGUCCCAGCAUGAACAAGUGCCUCAAGCCAGGCAACCAAAAGCCCCAGGCUCCCCUCACCAGACUGUACACUCUCUAUGACCCAUAACGCUGUCGGCAGCACCACGGCAGCCCAGCCGCCCCCAGAAGGAGCUGCAAUGCCAAGGGCGAGAAGCAGGUUGCCCAGAAAGUCAAUAAACUCAGAUGGGCUCUCACCGAGCGCUUCUCCUCAAUCCACAGGGCACCAGCGUCAGCACUGAGCUGCCAGCCAGGGAUGCACGGGGACACAGCCAGCUGCUCUGGACGGGCAACAAACUCCAGGGCAUGUUCAGACCCCAUUUUACAGCUUUAGAAACCCACCAUGAUGCUGCCGGCUUUAGCCACAGUCUCCCUAUCCAAACCCAGUGCGAACACACGCUCUCCUGCCCACAAUAAGCACCAGCUACUUUCCAACACCCAAACCACCACUCAGAAUCCUCCACUCUGCCUUCAGCAGCUUCUUCACAGCCUGACUUUUUUUUUUUAAGUAUACAGCACAAAAAAACCACACACAGGCCAACUUCAGAGAUAUUCCCUCUAGAAAAAUUAAAUACUCAUAAUGCUUUUUUAAAGUGAAUUGGGCCCCUUAAUUUGCAUCUUAUAAUAAGGAUGUUAUCGUACUGGUUUAUGGCUCAGCUCUUUAGUUUCUAUCUCUCAGGGGUUAGAUUUCCCCUCAUGAGUUCAAUAGAUGUCUGUGAACUAAUGUAAUUUUUUAAAAGGCUUUUCUUCUGUAUUAACAUUACAACCUUUAUGAGUUAAAGGUUUUACUUGCCAAAGUGCGGGGCGUGUUGGCAUUCGAGAGCCAGGCACUGUACUUGCCAGCACAGCCGCGAAGGAUGCUGCAACCAGGGGUUAAUCCUGGGCAGCGGGUGGAAACCUUCCUCACCUCCUCAUACCGAGCCGAGCUCUCCAGCGUACUCCAGCUCUUACAUUUAGCUUAAUUAUAAAACAUUGUCACUUGAAUAUUAAAAUAAUGUUUAAUACACAGAAGGGAAUAAGCCAGUCCAGAAAAAUGCAUAAUUUCCCUGCGCCUGCCCUGCUAGUUGCAUGCAAUGAGCUCUUUUCUCUUCCCCUCUUUCUCCUGGCUGCCUCUUACAGCAAUGCUGGGAAUACACUUCCAAGAGCCUUUAAAAAGCAUUUAAAGGCCAAGGAGGUUUCACCCAUCCCCACACAUUCCAGGGAGCCCAUUCUCUGAUGCCCUCACCCUCAGGAGGCAGAGCAGGGCCAGGGUGGGAUUCUUCCUCCUGUUCCCUUCCAGCCCUGCAUCCAUACGGCAGCACCGGGGUCUCCAGGAGAGGAAAACAGCAACGACUUGACUAAAUCCCAGAGGACGUUUUUAAACUUGCCCAAAUUAGGGCCCAGGGGCGGAUGCUCGGUGUUUCAAAACAGCCGGUCUCCGAGGUGCUCAAACACGCUGCAGGUUUCUCCCCUGUCCAGCUGGCCACAGCACUCCUGCCCAUGGCCGCAGCACGCCAGCCACCCCUGCCCACGGGAACCGCCACCGAGCCAGCAUUUCCCGGGGAACCCUUCGUGCUCAUUACGGGAGGCCAGACGAAAUUAAAUUGGGGCCCACUGGUUCUGCCAUCUGAACUUCAUCACUGCUAAAGACGCAAUAAAAGUAAUAGCAACAACGAACAAGCCUCUACCAGAUGUGUAACUCUAUCCAGUGAGAUUCAGGAAUAAGGGCCAUAUUUGGGGUUUGGCUUUUCUGUUGCGGUCCUCCCCCCAACCCCAACUUUCAUUGGGAAUAAUUGAUUAUUUGGACCCCUGUAGAUGGCAAAUGUUAAGAGGGUGAAUUCUAGGGGGAGAGGAGGUUCAGGGGCUGUUGGAAUGGAGGGGCAGCAAGAAUGUAUUGACUUGAAGCAGAUACAACGUACAACCCAAUGGCGAUGCCUCAUCACAUCUGAAACGGGAAAACUGGAGUAGGGGGAAGGGGAGAAUAAAAAAAAAAAGCAAAUGAGUACCACUUUUAUUCUGGGGGGGGAUGGGGGGUGUUCAGCUCAGUCCUCAAUAAUAAUUUAGAGUAGGAUCACAUGAAAUAUCAUACCAGAGCAGGGAGCCCUGGAAAGGCAGCAUUGUUUAACAGGUCCACCUCGCCAUCAAAAAGUCUGCAGGUAAAGGCUCACCCCAGGUUUCACCAGCAUCCAGACAGCUCCACCACACACAGCAAAAGAAGAAGUGAGAUGCAAAACAAAAGUACAGGGUAAACAGCAUAGCUGAAAAAAUAACCUCCAGCAGCCCAAGGAUGCUGGUGCUUCCCUCCACGUUCACAGUCACAUUGCCAUCCCAUCAGCCCCACGAUGCUCCUGAGCCCACUGCUGCUGCUGACCCCACAGCUCGCUCAGUGGGAGCUGACACCAAGCUGAGGUUGAAACGAAACAUGGGGGGGAAGGGUUGCUUGAAAUCUCAUUCACAGGGGUUUAGAUCUGUUUUCAGAUCCCUUCUGGAGCGAGCUUUCUCAUCUUGUACAAGCCCACAGCACAAAUGCAUCAUGAAUCCAAAAUAUAUAUUAUUUUGAAAGCAAACUUUAAGUCAGACUUAACACAAGACUUGACCUCCGCUGCACUUCGGUGUCAUUAAAGUGUGCUUAGAAAUAAAAUACAGCACAGUCAAAUGGCCUUCAAGUUUGAAGCAGCUUUUUAAACUCAAAAAAAAAUCAAAGCUAAGCUAGCUAAUUCCCAGGUAUCUUGCUCAUCUCAGCCCCCUGGACCAGGAAAGAGAGCACUUUAGUUGAUUAAAAACUCCAAAACUUACGGAGCUUUGGUUUUUUCAUAAAGCCCAAACGUACUUCAUUUUUUAACCACGAUGUGUAGACUCACACCUUGGGAACAUGCUAAAAUACAAAACCCCUAGGAACAUUGCCCCUCUUGCAUCAAAACCAGAGCAAUCUCCAGCUUGGAGGCUAACAGCUUUCCAGCUCUC
Falco peregrinus (peregrine falcon) is the source of this 3343-nucleotide long non-coding RNA. RefSeq lists it as uncharacterized. Lineage: Eukaryota; Metazoa; Chordata; Aves; Falconiformes; Falconidae. The transcript is spliced from 3 exons. The record is from RefSeq and is a predicted model, not a curated record.